GAUGAUCGCUGAGAUCUUAGGAGCUCAGAGGAAAGUCCGGACACCAUACGGCAGCAUGCCCGGUGAAAGCCGGGGAGCCUCGUUGUAAUGGCGGGGCGACGGAAAGUGUCGCAGAAAACAAACCGCCCUGCUCACGCAGGGUAAGGGUGAAAAGGCGAGGUAAGAGCUCACCGCCCCAAAGGUAACGGAGGGGGUACGAUAAACCCCAUGUGGUGCAAGACAGAACAGGGCAAACGGGCAGCCGGUCCGGUUUGGCGACUUCGGUCGUUGGUGUGCCCGGGUAAUAGUCGCACUCUGCUUCAGCAGGGAUUUGGGGGUUCACAAGAAAAUCCAACUAGAUAAAUGAUCGUCCGUCGACGCCGAUUACGGCCAGACGAACAGAAUCCGGCUUAUGG
Molecule: RNase P RNA, 395 nt
Filed under: marine eukaryotic metagenome
Description: Bacterial RNase P class A
Rfam family: Bacterial RNase P class A
About the family: Ribonuclease P (RNase P) is a ubiquitous endoribonuclease, found in archaea, bacteria and eukarya as well as chloroplasts and mitochondria. Its best characterised activity is the generation of mature 5'-ends of tRNAs by cleaving the 5'-leader elements of precursor-tRNAs. Cellular RNase Ps are ribonucleoproteins.
Source: RNAcentral